GUCAUCUGUUCAAAAGGGUUUGCUUAUUAGGUUCAGUGUUGGUAUUAUAUUCUUGUACCCACACUCUACAAUUGAUAAGCUAAAUCAACUCAGCUGGAAUUUCGAACA
RNAcentral lists this small RNA (108 nucleotides) under Arabidopsis thaliana (thale cress). Its description in RNAcentral is "ATSL128800". Lineage: Eukaryota; Viridiplantae; Streptophyta; Magnoliopsida; Brassicales; Brassicaceae. The record is from RNAcentral.